AGUGAACGCUGGCGGUAGGCCUAACACAUGCAAGUCGAACGGCAGCACAGUAAGAGCUUGCUCUUACGGGUGGCGAGUGGCGGACGGGUGAGGAAUACAUCGGAAUCUACUUUUUCGUGGGGGAUAACGUAGGGAAACUUACGCUAAUACCGCAUACGACCUACGGGUGAAAGCAGGGGAUCUUCGGACCUUGCGCGAUUGAAUGAGCCGAUGUCGGAUUAGCUAGUUGGCGGGGUAAAGGCCCACCAAGGCGGCGAUCCGUAGCUGGUCUGAGAGGAUGAUCGGCCACAUUGGAACGUAGACACGGUCCAGACGCCUACGGGAGGCAGCAGUGGGGAAUAUUGGACAAUGGGCGGAAGCCUGGUCCAGCCAUACCGAGUGGGUGAAGAAGGCGUUCGGGUUGUAAAGCCCUUUUGUUGGGAAAGAAAAGCAGCAGGUUAAUACCCCGCUGUUCUGACGGUACCCAAAGAAUAAGCACCGGCUAACUUCGUG
This 492-nucleotide ribosomal RNA is filed under the name uncultured bacterium. RNAcentral describes it as "partial 16S ribosomal RNA". It matches the Rfam family "Bacterial small subunit ribosomal RNA", at positions 29 to 507 of the family's 1533-position model. The record is from RNAcentral.